This 280-nucleotide long non-coding RNA is filed under the name Ictidomys tridecemlineatus (thirteen-lined ground squirrel). RNAcentral's name for it is "lncRNA (ENSSTOG00000029764.1)". The record is from RNAcentral. Lineage: Eukaryota; Metazoa; Chordata; Mammalia; Rodentia; Sciuridae.
CUCACAAUAUCUUUCUUAACAGAUUUGAUGCCAGGUGAAUCCAAGAGUCUAAAAAUCAACUGGACAAAAUGAAGAAGCUUGCUUCUUAUCAAAAUAAAGGCAUGUUGAUAGGCUGUGCUGAUCAACAUAUAUUCAUCAAGGAACGAGAAGGGAAGUGGGCGGGAAGGAGGCUGCAGAAGCUCACAUCUUGAGGAGCCAGAGCUCACUGCAGGGAGGAGACCCAGAAUCAGCAGUCUGUGACAUCUGUCACCUCGUCACCCUCGUUGCCCACAUCGAUAAC